Oxyura jamaicensis (ruddy duck) is the source of this 145-nucleotide long non-coding RNA. RefSeq lists it as uncharacterized. NCBI's taxonomy places the organism in Eukaryota, Metazoa, Chordata, Aves, Anseriformes, Anatidae. The record is from RefSeq and is a predicted model, not a curated record. The transcript is spliced from 3 exons.
CCAAAAAUUGAACUCAUCAGUCUCACGUCAGUGCCUGGUAAAGUUAUGGAGAAGAUGAUCCUUGAAGUCAUUGAAGCACACCUGGGGGACAAUGCAGUCAUUGGUCCCAGACAACAUGAGUUCACAAGGGGUAGGUCCUGUUUAA